GGGGAUUUAGCUCAGUGGUAGAGCGCUUACCUAACAAGUGCAAGGCCCUGGGUUCGGUCCCCAGCUCCA
Molecule: transfer RNA, 69 nt
Filed under: Rattus norvegicus (Norway rat)
Lineage: Eukaryota; Metazoa; Chordata; Mammalia; Rodentia; Muridae
Rfam family: tRNA
About the family: Transfer RNA (tRNA) molecules are approximately 80 nucleotides in length. Their secondary structure includes four short double-helical elements and three loops (D, anti-codon, and T loops).
Source: Rfam by way of RNAcentral